GAUGAACGCUGGCGGCGUGCCUAAUACAUGCAAGUCGAGCGAACAGACGAGGAGCUUGCUCCUCUGACGUUAGCGGCGGACGGGUGAGUAACACGUGGAUAACCUACCUAUAAGACUGGGAUAACUUCGGGAAACCGGAGCUAAUACCGGAUAAUAUAUUGAACCGCAUGGUUCAAUAGUGAAAGACGGUUUUGCUGUCACUUAUAGAUGGAUCCGCGCCGCAUUAGCUAGUUGGUAAGGUAACGGCUUACCAAGGCAACGAUGCGUAGCCGACCUGAGAGGGUGAUCGGCCACACUGGAACUGAGACACGGUCCAGACUCCUACGGGAGGCAGCAGUAGGGAAUCUUCCGCAAUGGGCGAAAGCCUGACGGAGCAACGUCGCGUGAGUGAUGAAGGUCUUCGGAUCGUAAAACUCUGUUAUUAGGGAAGAACAAAUGUGUAAGUAACUAUGCACGUCUUGACGGUACCUAAUCAGAAAGCCACGGCUAACUACGUG
RNAcentral lists this ribosomal RNA (497 nucleotides) under uncultured bacterium. RNAcentral describes it as "partial 16S ribosomal RNA". It matches the Rfam family "Bacterial small subunit ribosomal RNA", at positions 28 to 507 of the family's 1533-position model. The record is from RNAcentral.